CUUCCUUGGGAUUGGAGAGGAAAGCAGGGCACAGAAUGAUAACCUAGAUCAGGGGGUCCCAACCACUUUUAUGCCAUAGACCAAUUCCAUUAAGCAAGGGGUCCAUGGCCCAUAGGUGACCUCGAUGGUCACAGAGAGCAGCACCUGGAUCAAGACCAAACGUGAGCCGGUGGCACGAACUGUGGCACUUCCACCUUAACCCAUUCAGUUCUGGUUCCUCGUGUGUGCACUCCAGUUGCAUUCAGAUAGACUACCGUUUUAAAACUAAAAAAUAAUAGAAUUAAAAAGGUUUUAUGCACAUAUAUUUGCUUCAAAUUUAAUUGGGAAAAUAACAGCUUGAGCUGAAUUAAUUCCGACAGAUUGUUAACAUUUUCAAGUGUCUCUUAGUGACAGAGAGAGUCUAAACGAAUCCUGGACACUCCACUGAAGGAACAUCUCAUGGAAGGACUUUGCCAUAAAUAGCACCAUUAUCCACUCAGACAAGCCCAAGAGCCAUUAAAUACCAGAAAAAAAAAUCAUGGAACAUGGAGAAAAACAUGCAGUGGUAAACCCAACUUCUGGGGGGAAAAAGCGUGAAUUUUCUCAAAUCACUUCACUUUCCCGAAUGCCACAACUUCUAGAAGAGACCUUGAUGUUUCCAGUUGCUUAAACCCCAAAGAUGGAAAAAAUAAAAUGUAACACUAUCUCAGCGUCGAAAGCAAAUUUUACCUCACUGUACAGUUCAGUGAUGGCAUGGUAUUACAUUUUACCAGAAUAAAUGAAGCAGAAAACAUAAACACUUUGAAAGAAAUAGAAAGCAACUAGCAGAAAUGUUCAGAUCAACCUUGAACAAGACUUAUAGGAAAUGCUAAUGGCCUGGAACUAACGUCAUGCAGAAAGAAAGCCAUGUUUUCCCCUGCAACAGUUCAAUUGCUUAGUAACACUGAGGCUUUAUAAAGCACUGGUGAGGCCUCACCUGGAGUAUUGUUUGCAGUUUUCUGCCAAUUAUCUAAGAAAGGAUGUUCUGACAUCUGAGAGGGUUCAAAGGAGUUUUAUGAGAACGAUUACGGGAUUGAAAGGCUCGUCAUAUGAGGAGCGUUUGAUGGCUCUGGGCCUCUACUCACUGGAAUUCAGAGGAAUGAGGGGUGACCUAAUUGAAACCUAUUGAAUGGUGAAAGGCCUUGAUAGAGUGGAUGUGGAAAGGAUAUUUCCUGUGGUGGGGAUGUCUAAGACCAGAGGACACAGCCUCAGAAUAGAGGGGUGUCCUUUUAGAGUGAGGAUGUGGCCAGAGAGUGGUGAAUUAUGGAACUUGUUGCCACAGUCAGCUGUAGAGGCCGUCAUUGGGUAUAUUUAAGGCUGAGGUUGAUAGAUUCUUGAAUAGUCAGGGCAUGAAGGGAUAGGGGAAGAAGGUAGGAGUUUAGGGCUGAGAAGGAAAAUGGAUCUGCCAUGAUAAAAUGGCGGAGCAGGCUCCAAGACCCAAAUGGGCCUAAUUCUGCUCCUAUAUUUUACGGUUUUAUAAGAAAGGCUUUAGGCAAAUUCUGUAAGUUAGUCAGCACUUAAAGCAGACAUGACAGGAGUAGAACUUGGCUCAGGCAAUACUGUACUACUGAUCAGUUCGGCCACCUAGUGCACACAAGGCUUAGAAUUCAGUUGUAUUACAAUCAAUAUGAACAUCACUCAAAUAGCUCUUCUUCAGUAUCACAGUUGAGAUGUAUGCAUGCUUCAAACUGACACUUUUACCAAAUUAUUCGUUAGAACAAUGCAGCAACCAGAUUUGAAUUAACUUAAGGAAUGCUGUGGUCGCUGGAACUGUUUGGGCCCUGCGGCGCGGAGAGCCGCGACAAUGCUUGGAUGAGCGUUGCAAUAACAACAGAAAAUGACUCAGCAACUCUGCAGUAUCUGCGGAAAGGUUCCUUCAGUCCAGCAGUUUUGUUUCUUGUCUGCUUGGAGACUUCACUCCAUUAGCUGUGAAGCACUUAAAUUUUGAGAAUGUGGAAGGUGCUCUUGAGAUGCACGCUUGCUUUGAGUAAUGAUCGGUGCAACUAGACUGUAAAAUGACCACAAUUAAUUGACUGUUGAAAAUUAUAAAGCUGCUGUUACUAAUAGAAGGGUUGUUAUUUCUGAUACUCAGACAAAGGGAAAGUCCAUAAUCAUGGCAAUUAUAAAUUUUAGUACUGAAAUUAUUUACAGUCAGAAAUAAUGGGAUGUGCAAGACUUGGAGAAUUUUUAUAACGGGCAUAAGCCCAAAAAAGUUUUGAGAGCCAUUGCCUUCUCCUUACUGCCUCAAGCUAUUUCAACAAUCCAUCUGCCUGCUGUUCUCAAUAGUGGAAAAUAGUCCAUCUGUAAACGAGACAGAUUUAUUACUGACUCUUAUUGCACUGCUAUUCAAAAGAAAAUUCCAGGUCUUUCUGACCCAGACCUAAACAAUUGAAUCAGAACUUUAGAUCAAGCAACACACACGUUACAAAUGGCUGCAGCUUUUGCCAUAGAACCAAUCACAAUUCAAAUUCUCCAGACAUCAUCAUUGUGCCAGAUUAUCAACCAAUCACAAUUCAAAUUCUCCAGACAUCAUCAUUGUGCCAGAUUAUCAACCAAUCACAAUUCAAAUUCUCCAGACAUCAUCAUUGUGCCAGAUUAUCAACCAAUCACAAUUCAAAUUCUCCAGACAUCAUCAUUGUGCCAGAUUAUCAACCAAUCAGAACUCAAAUUCUUCUGACGUCAACAUUGUGUGCAUCUCAAGACCAGACAUAAUGUCAAUUGUGUCUAAAUGCCAGUCAUUGGGUACUAAAGACAGGCCAGAGGCCUACGCAGGUGAUCAGAGACCCAGGAAAAAUCAAAAUGGAGAACUCUACACCAAGUUGUAAGGUACCUAGCUUAAUGUAAGAAUCACCUGCAGAAAGUAAAUGAAUGGCAAAAGAUUGAAAGAUGGGACAAAAGAAGCAAAGACAUACUUAAGGAACAUCUCUAAUAUUAGCUAAAAUCGGAACGAAUUAGAGGUUCACAUCUUGUACAAGUUUCAGGCUCUGAGGAAGUAUGGAAGAGAAAUGGAAGAGCUUGAAACACAGCAGGGAAGAUGGUGAGAGAACAGGACAAUGUUGGUCAAAAUAUAAUCAAAAUCUACAACUUCUGAGAAACCCGAUAUAAUAGAAAUACACAGAAUGACUGUCUGGGCAAACAUUUCAAACAUAAACCUUCCAUCAAAACUCAGCACUAUGUUCAUGGUCUCCAUCCAACCCACAAUCUCCUUAACCCCCACCAUCAUUCGGGAGGUACCAUAGCGUUAGGCCGAGUUGCCAACUUGAACCUCAACCCAACACGGAUGGAGAGCGGGCAAGGAGCCGGCCGGAUUCGAACCCGCGACCGCUCCCCUCAAAGUCCGGCGCAGACGCUACUACGCCACCGGCUGGCAACGUUUCAGAAAUACAGCAUGGUAACAAGGCCUUUCGGCCCAAUGAGCCUGCAAUGUCCAAUUACACACAUGUGACCAAUUGACCUACUAAACGACGCACAUAAAAGUGCUGGUGAACGCAGCAGGCCAAGCAGCAUCUCUAGGAAGAGGUACAGUCGACGUUUCGAGCCGAGACCCUUCGUCGGGACUCGGCCCGAAACGUCGACUGUACCUCUUCCUAGAGAUGCUGCCUGGCCUGCUGCGUUCACCAGCAACUUUGAUGUGUGUUGCUUGAAAUUCCAGCAUCUGCAGAUUUCCUCGUGUUGACCUACUAAACGAAACGUCUUUGGAAGCUGGGGGGGAAACCAGAGCAUCCAAAAGGAAAACACAGGUGGUCAUGGAGAGAAUGUACAAAUUCCUUACAGACAGCAACUGAAUUGAACCAGACUUGUUUGUUCUUCCAUUACUUUUCUGAACAUUGUGGGGUGGGGAGGAGAGCACAGAUUGCAGAGAGCAUUUGUAAAACUUUAUGCAGGUAAGCUGAGAAAGGCAAGCUAACAUUUGUCAGGUGAUCCUUCAGAACCACAUCUGCUGAAGCUGAAUACAAUACACCCACACACCAAACAGGUCACCGCCACGCCAACCUGAUAGAUGCGCAGUAAAAGCCAUAUGAUGCCAACACGAUGCAAAAAGUCUGGCCAAGUCAUUUCUGAUUUUAUGUCAUUGUCGCCAGGGGAAUUACUCUCAUUCCGGGGCACCUCCUGCACACGGAAUGCCUUGAGAGUGGGAAACCCAAUACUCUUCCCAGAGCUGUCAGUUAUCCAGCCGCAGAUCCCUACAAAAAUAUACAAGGAAAUGUACUGGCUCGGGUAUCUAUCCACACAAAAUACAGCUAGUCAAAACAGAAGUGUGGAGUUACUGAAGCAGGGACUGCUGUUAGCCAGUCCACGGUUAUUAUGAUCUAGCCAGCACCCCCCCCACCCACCCCCCGUGCUGCCUGACUAUCUACAGGGCCGCAGCAAUCUGCAUUUUAUUUCAGGUCUCUAGCGUCUGCAGUGUUUGAAUCGUUGACCGCCCAUUGGCGGAGAAAGGGUCACACCACUGUAGGUGUGGCAUACCUCCCGCCUGACAACCCAUAAUCCCCGUGUGCCAACCAUCUCUUAAAGUGGCUGCCCCCAUUAGCCAAAGUUUCAUGGAAAUUGUUAAAAAAGGUAUGAAAACAGGCAAACUACUGGUUAACUGAAUAAUAAAUUACAUAUUUAAAUGAAAUACAGAAUAAAUUCAAAGACUACUACAGUCCUAUAAAACUGUGUAUUAGUUCCUAAUAGUUAUCAACAGAGGAACUCAUCCAGUGUAUAGUAUCACAUUCUUUUGACUGUAAAACUAACAAUUAUCAGAAAUUUUAAUUUAUAUUAAAACAUUCUUAAAAAUCAGGUCACCUUCACUGUGUACUCUGAAUCCUUUCUUUGUAUUUUAAGCCAUUUUUUCCCCUCUGGCAAGGAUUGCUUUGAAUCUCUAAGUAAACUUCAACAGCUUCAAUUAGAAAAAUAGAACAGAAAUCCUUAAUUUACUACUUGCUAAUAUUUAGGAGCAGUCAUGAAAGUUGUUUCCUCCAAGAAGACCACAACCUUGUCAUAGGAUUUGAAGGCUUGCAUGUCUCAAUGACCCAGGAAGCUAUGCUGGCUGGAGUCAAGGCUUUAUGCUUUGCCUCUUGGUAGGGUCACCCAAAUAGGUCAAAGGGUAGAGGGCAGAGUAAGAGUGGUCAACCAGUUCUCCAGGUUUGGGCGUUCAGUUCGGGGCUAACAAGCCUGACUGGUAAAGCAAAAUUGUUACAAAAACAGCAGUAAAGAAUCCUUCAACUUCCGACUGGGAUGGUACUCCUGAGUCUCCACCCAGGACUCACAUGACCGACGGUGGUGAAAACCGAGGGGAAGUUACUGACAUGAUGAGCAACAUCAGAGAUAGAAGACCUUCAUUGCCGUCCCAAACACCAACAGCAUAACAGGUACGAAGAGAAGAGAGAAUCAAAGUUGAUAUUAAUGAUUUUGUACUCAAUUCUUGAUCAUCAUUUAGCAAUAAACCUUUGCAAAUAUGCUGCAAAAAUUCAACACAAGUAUAGUUUCUUCAAGACAGUGAUGACUGUUGGCUUAACAACUCCUAACGGCAAGAAAUCAGUUAUGUACUGACAGUCAAAGAGCAUGCUCUUUGAAGUUGCUCUGUUGCAAUCUCCACUUCGGACUUCCCCAUCAAAACAUGCCCUAACAAAUUAUAUGCUUAUGAACUUAGCAUGUCAGUCACCAUAAAAGAGCAUUCUUAAGGAGAGUACAAUUAAAGGACACAGCUUUAAGCAACAAGAAUAAAUUAGAUAUUAAUAAAUGAAUAAUCUUCACUGCAGACGUGCUGGUUUUGCACCUUGACAAAUAAAGUAAAAAAUAUAAACUGAAAUGUGUUGGAGUAAAAUUGAGCUCGCUGAAAUUGGCAGACAACCAAAGACAAUAUUUGGAAGUUGUCCAGUUUUCUUUAAAGCCCCGGGUGUCUAUGCUGCAAAUUUCUAAUUCCUUGUUCCCAGAUUAUACGGCAUACUGCUGGCUAGUUACCAAAUUCGUAGUUAAUAUCAUGUACCAUAGAAAUUAAAUAUUAAAGAAUCAGGAGGAAAAUGAGUCCAGCAAAUAUUGCUUUGAUGUCAUUUAUAUGCCUUUCAACAACCGAAGCACAUUAGAAUUGCUUAUUAAAUUAGUGCUAUGCAAAACUCCUUAAUCAAUGUGUCAUUAAAAGGUUGUCUAAGGUCAUGUUCAAUCAGAAUCAGGAUUAUUAUCACCAGCAUAUGACAUGAAACUUGUUAACUUAGCAGCAGCAGUUUAGUGCAAUAUAUAAUCCAGCAGAGAGAAAAACAUAAUAAUAAUAAAUAAGGGGAGGGAGGGGAGGGAGGGAACGUCGACUCAGAACAUGAGAGAGGGGCCCGCGUCAGGCAUUUUCAUGCCUUACAAGGCGCAGAUUGGAAGUCUGUGUGAGGCACCACUCCUCACACAGACACCAGAGCAAUGUGUGGAUGAAUGCCUUGCUCGAGGACACAAACAUGCUGCCACAGCUGAGGCUCGAACUAGCAACCUUCAGAUCUCUAGACGAACGCCUUAACUGCGAGCACGUGCCCAACACAAUAAAUAGUAAAGCACAAUAAUAAUUAAAAUAAAAUAAAACAUAAUAAUAACAAAUAAACAAGUAAAUCAAUUAUGUAUAUUGAAUAGAUUAAAAACAUACAAAAACAGAAAUACUGUAUAUUUAAAAUAAAACUGAGGUAGUGUCCAAAGCUUCAAUGUCCAUUUAGGAAUCGGAUGGCAGAGGGGAAGAAGCUGUUCCUGAAUCACUGAGUGUGUGCCUUCUGGCUUCUGUACUUUCUGUCUGAUGGUAACAGUGAGAAAAGGGCAUGCCCUGGGUGCUGGAGGUCCUUAAUAAUGAACGCUGCCUUUCUGAGACACCGCUCCCUAAAGAUGUCCUGGGUACUUUGUAGGCUAGUGCCCAAGAUGGAGUUGACUGGAUUUACAACCUUCUGCAGCUUCUUUCGGUCCUGUGCAGUAUCCCUCCAUACCAGACAGUGAUGCAGCCUGUCAGAAUGCUCUCCACGGUACAACUAUAGCAGUUUUUGAGUGUAUUUGAGUGAAAGAAUUGAUAUCAACUUUUUCAUCUCUGGUAAACUUUCACCCCACCUGUGAACAUGCCUGAGCUGUGUUUGGAUAGGGUACCUUAUAGAGGUAUCCGGUCCUUAGUUUCAUAGAAGUUAAUUUUCCUUGAUAGAACAUCGGUUGAUUCCUUUUGACAUCGUUCCCUCUAAUUUUUUUUCUAUAGCUGCACAGACCAAUCAUUGCUCUGAGCAGGAAAGUUUACAUGGCCUGUAAACAGCGUAGCUCUUUGAGUGUUUAAAUGUUAAGAUAAUUCCAGCUGCGUGGCAACAAAGGCUAUGUGCGCGGGAGCAUUUCCAUUGCCGUGUGGCCACACACUCGCACAACUUUGAGGGAGCAGUACGGCUUACUCUCACAUUAAUAAUUUCUCCUCCAAAUACCAUUUCUGUUCAUUGAUUUAUGUAAUAAGCUGCAUGUGGCGAUCUUCCAAGCAAAUAGUUCUUCAGGUAAACAUGGCUCAGCGUUCGGUAAAUGCUCUUCAACUUUCUUUAUUUUUAAUGUGUUCGGCCAACCAGGCAAUUUAAAUAUCUACUAGCUUCCAACUUACCAUGACAUCUGAAGUAAACCAACACCAGUUCAGAUGUUAUCAGAGAUUUCUAUAUACACUCCGAGGCACUCUGCCCAGCAACCCUUGAUUUAACUCUAGCCUAAUUGGACAAUUUACUCUGACCAAUCAACCUAACAACCAGCAUGCCAUUGGACUGUGGGAGGAAACCCAUGCAGUCAUUUCGAAAAUGUACAAACUCCUUACAGGCAGAGACGGGAAUUGAACCCUGGUCGUUGGUAACGAGUUAACCACUACACUACCAUGACUUGGAUCAAUUACCAUCCAAUGUUACGUUCAUGCUGAAUAUUGUGCUAUUUUCCAAGAUUAACUUCAUCAAGCGACUGUCAAGAAAAAUGUUAAUAUUUAAAAUUGACUGCAAUUAAUUUUUAACUAUUAAUUUAAAAUGUUAAUGGAAUAGAUCCUGGCAUUGCUUAUAGAUGAGAUCAUUCCUAAAGAUUUAAAAUUGCUUUCUUGAUAAUGAAACAAACAGCGAGUUCAACUAACAAAAUCUUAAAGGUGAAAAAUCAUUUUCUCUGUGAUAAUUGUGCGUCCACCUGCAGUUGGACAAAGCUGCACAAGUUACUUAAAGAUAAAAUUAGCAGUUCUCAUAAUUGUUUCUGGCAGCUGUACACAUGGAAAGACAGAUAUUUGGGAUUAUGGAUAUAGUUCAAUUUUAUUCUCUUUUUUUUCACUCCUCUCUAUUAGCUGUGAUUACCAUCAGAGACCUAGGAAGGCUGUCCUUUCAAUUUUUGCCUUGAUCGUGACCUCAAGGUUGUACUGGUGGCAUUGAGAAAUUUGAAUAAAUAGUGAGCCAUCCUCCAUUGUCCAUACCAGAGUUCAUACACACACAGUAUGCUUUGCACAUACAGCUGGAUGAAUUUCUACCCCAAAGGUUUUCAGAGUUAAUUAAUAAGGAAAUAAGAUAUCAACUUUCUUAUAAGACAGGAUGCAAGAACAUUGUUUCCAUGAUGGUAGAUUCAUUGAUGGUAAGCUAUUUAGUAAGGCUUUUUUUGUCUAGGGGCUUACAGCUGGAAGGAUACCACAUCUGACUGUUAAUGCAAUUAAUAAAAUGAAUAGCCACAUCUGGGAUCUGUGGAUGCAGGCACCAUAUCCAAUAUGUAGAGUUAGAGGUACCCAACAUCACUGCAGGGUAUGCUGUCACAAAUGCAACAAACGCUGGAUUAGUGACUUGACAUGAACACAAACUUCUGAUGCAUGAUUGAUACUGUAUAGAAAUGGCAAAAAAAAAACUUCUUUUCAAUUUACAGUACUUGAUUUGUUUCUCAAAUAGUUAAAGUUACUGAUAAAAAUGUCCGUAAAAAAAGAAUUUAAUUAGUGCAAGACUCAGUCUCACAGAAUAAAAUGUGCAGUUUCUAAAACUCUAAAUUCAUAAAAACCUAUUUAGAUGUCUGAUAUGAAAAAUAAUUAAAAUUACAAAGGCUGAAAUCUCCAAUGAAAAGAAAAUUGCUGAAAUAACCUUUCAAAUAGCAUCCAUGAAUAAAGAAACAACUUAGAAUCAUGGGUCAAAGAGUUUCAUCAGCACUUAUCCAUAAAAUUAAUGAAAUGUAUAUUAAAAUGCAUGCUUUUUAUUUCAUUCUUUGCUGACUUUGGGAAUUCUACAUUGGUUGCCAAAAGAACAACUCUUUGGCUGCAGAUGUCAAAAAUGGUACCAAUUUCAAUGUUAAGUCAGAGCAGAGAAACUCCAUGGCCUGAAUCCUAAAUCUUUGCUUCGGGUUUGUGUUUUGAAAGGCUAACCAUGAACAAUAUUUCUUGACCACUGACCACUGAAUUUGGAUCAUCAGUGCAGUAAUGAAGUGUGGAAACUGGAAAGAUAUUGCUGAUUUUGAACCUUGGGGACUCAUAAUGCAGUGGGAACUGGAUGGAUGGGGAGACUUACCUACUUGACUUUGGCAUUUUGUGGCCUAGGGAGGUUUAACUCCUCAGCCUCUCCCAUAUGGCUCUGGUAAGUCACCAGGAACAAAAUAUCAACAGGCAGCAAAAGUCAUUGUAAAAGACUGACAGGAUAGUUCUCAGCAACAGGUUAAAACAAGGAUGUGAAAAUUAGCGUGUUGUGGUCAAGGAGGAAGAGAGGUGGUGUACGUUGACAGAAAUGAAAAAGAAGUCCAAAAUCGAAUCCUUGGGCCUGUUCUGAGUAUGACCCCUCUUCCUGCUAUCUUCUGGCUUCUCUUCUCAGAUCACCAUUCAAAACUGUUGUGCCCCAAAUAAGGUUUCCAUUAUAAAGUCAGUGAGGGAUUGUCCAAGAAAAAUAUUCACCCAGAGCCAAGAUAAGCAAAGGGUUGCUUCACGUGGGACAAGAGACUGACGUGGGCUUUACAAGCUGAAUCACGAAGAUUGAUAGUCAGGAACAAAAACAACAGUUUCUAGCUGAACAGCGUUUUCUGCUGAUGAUUGAAGAUUAGACCCUCUGUAUCUGGGGUUCCCAACUCAGGGUCCACAGACCCUUGGUUAGUGGUAGGGGUCCAUGGUAUAAAAAAAGUUGGGAAGCCCAGCUCGACAUGCACUUGACACCAGAGUCUUAUAAUGGCUUCCAAUUCAGUUACAUUAGAUUGCUGGGAUAUUAUAAGUAAAACAAAAUAUGGCGAAAAAAUCUUUAUCACACAAUAUGGAUGCACUACACUUUGAGGAUUAAUGCAACGUUAAAUUAAAACACAUUACCUUUUAAGUGUAAAUGAGUGAAGGCUUUGGGAAAUGAAUAAAAGAUCCUUUAAUAUUUUUGGAGCUGCUUAACAAGCAAAGGGUCAGAAGAUGUUUGCACUUUAAAAAUCUGGUUCUGUCUUCAAUUUAUUUUGAUCUGAUGAUUAUAGUCAGUUAACUUGGGAGAAGGAUUCAAGUAAUCAAAUGGUUUCAAUGUGUGCGCAGACUUUUUGCCAGCAUGGUUAUGGAUAACACCAAUAAUUUUACAGUGCCUGUAAUUAUCCAAGUUGGAAACAGAUAGGGAUUGCAAUCGGCGCUGUAGCACAGAUGGUACAAGACUGAUGGCUGCAGACAAUGAGGCAGUGUUUCCAAAUGUCUUAAAAGGCCAAGAUAUCUGGACUAGAUAUUUGGGUUUCUUUGCCAUUAAAUUUGCAAUGGAAUAUCACAGCUGUUCAAGAUUUGCUAAAUAGUAUACAAUUUUGAAGAGGUGUUUUAGUAAUUCCCUGCUUUAUUGUGACAUUUUUACUUUUUAGCAGUUCAAAUAACAGUGCAAGAUAGCCCCUAAUUACAGGAAACAUACUUUAUCGCUAUCUACUACGAAGCCUAAAGGCAGGUUACGCAGGUCUACUUAGUGGUUAGCAGAACAUUCCUCUUCACCAUCAGUGCAGAAGACAGAAUCAGAAUCAGGUUUAAUAUCACCGGCAUAUGUGAAAUUUGUUGACUUUGCAACAGCAGUUCAAUGCAAUAUAUAAUAGGAAAAAACUGUGAAUUACAGUAAAUAUGUGUAUAUUAAAUAGUUAAGUUAAAUAAGUCACGUAAAAAUGGAAAUAAAAAAAUAGUGAGGUAGUGUUUAUGGGUUCAAUGUCCAUUCAGAAAUUCAUUGAAAGAGGAGAGGAGUCUGCUUCUGCAUCAUUGAGUGUGUGCCUUCACGCUUCUGUACCUCCUUCCUGGGUGAUGGGGGUCCUUAAUGACGGAUACCGCCCUUUUGAGGCAUCGCUCAAUGAAGAUGUCCUGGAUACUAUGGAGGCUAGUGCCCAUGAUGGAGCUGUCUAAGUUUGCAACUCACCACAGCUUACUUUGAUCCUGUGCAGUAGCCUAUUCCUCCCCCCCCCCACCAUAUCAAACAGUUAAAAUGCUCUCCACCAUACAAUUGUAGAAAUUUGCGAGUGUUUUAGGUGACAUACCAAAUCUUCUCAAACUCCUAAUGAAAUAUAGCCACUGUCGUGCCUUCUUUGCAGCUGCAUCGAUAUGUUGGGUCCAGGUUAGGUUCUCAGAUACUGACAUCCAAGAACUUGGCAUUGUUCACUCUUUCAACUUCUGAUCCCUCUAUGAGGGCGCAUGUCCCGUUGGCUUACCCUUUCUGAAGUCCACACGUAGUUUUUUGGUCUUACUGAUGUUGAGUGCAAGAGCAGAUGAGCAGAUCUGGAGGAAAUUCUAGCAGCAAGUGUGAUUAUAUUUACAUUUACUAAGGACUGAAAUGUGACAGGCUAAUGGAGUCAGAGAGUUUAGUACUGUACAGCACUAAGACAGUUUUGUCUCACCAAAUCCACGCCAUUGACAUUAGUCCCACUUGCCAGCAUUAGGUCUGUAUCGUUUCAUGCCUACUCAAAUGUAUGUAUAAAUAGUGCUUAAACAAACUGAUUAGGACUGAUUCCCUCCAGGAGGACACCAUCCUUGUCGUAGGGCUUGGAGAUUUGUGAUGCCUCAGUGACCCAGACAGCUAUGUUGGCUGGAGUCAGGGCUUUACGCUUUGGCUCUUGGUUGGGCCACCCAUGCCAAGCAGGUCAAAGGGUAGAGGACAGACCACCGCUCCUCCAGGUUUGGGGGUUCAUCUCAGGGCUAACAGCCCAGACUGGUAAAACAAAACUGUUAUGGAAACAGCAAUGAAGAAUCCUUCUAUGUCUGUGCGUGAUGGUAUUCCUGAGUCUCUACCCAGGACCUGCAUGACUGACAGUUUGAAAACCGAGAGGAAGCUACAGGCAUGAUGAAGGAAGCCCUGAGCAAUGCCAGAGAUCGAGGACCUCAUUGCUGUCCUAAACACCAGUGGCAUAACAGGCAGUAGAGUAUAGAGAGCCUGAUUUCCCCAUCUUAACCAACUGCAAUUGCCGGAUAUCAACCACUCUCAGUGUAAAAAACUCUUCCCCUCAAAUUCCCUCCAAAACUUCUUCCUCUCAUCAUAAACUUGUGCCUUUUUUAUAUUUCUACCAGCAGAAAAAUAUUCUAUCUACCCUCUCUAUGCCUCUUAUAAUUUUCUCUAUCUCUAUCAGGACACCGUUCAGCUUUCUUCGCUCCAGAAAAAACAAGCCCAAUGUAACCAAUCUUUCCCUAUAACUAAAGUCUUCCAAUUGAGCAAUAUCUUGUCUGUAUGCUCUCCAAUGUAAGCACAUCCUUCCAAUAGUCUGCUGACCAGACAUACACACAACUGUGGCCUCACCACUGUUUUGUAAAGUUGCAACAUAACAUCCCAACAUUGAUCAUCUAUGCCAGGGAUUCCCAACAUUUUUUUAUGCCAUGGACCAAUACCAUUGAACAAGGUGUCCAGCGGACCUAGGUUUAGAACCCCGUAAAUCUAUGCCCUGACUUCUGAAGGUAAGCAUGCCUUCUACGUGCUUUAACAUCCUAUCUACCCACAUUGCUAUGUAUGGGGAAUUAUAGACUUGAACUCCCAACGUCCAUCCAUUGAACAAAUUUCCUUUUACCAUAAACAUCACACUCCAAUUUAACUUCACAGAAUACAUUAUCUCACAGAAUACAUUAUCUCACACUUAUCAUGAUUAAAUUCCAUCUGCCAAUGCUCCAUCUGACUUUUAAUCUGGUCCCUAUCCUGCUGCAGCAUUUAACAAUCUUCCUCAAUAUUCACAUCGCCAACUUUUGUGUCCAUAGACUUACUAUUCACAUCCAUUUGUCUAUAAAUAUUCCCACAUCAACCCCUCUCUCCUUAGUUCUCUGUACGCACUGCGACUUUUUCUUACUUACAGACUGACUAAUUUCCUUUUUGAUUCCUUUGUCACUUUUUUAUUUCAGAGCUAUUUACAUUAGCCAAUUAAUGUACAUGGGUGGUUGGGUAGA
This is a long non-coding RNA of Mobula hypostoma (lesser devil ray), 13315 nucleotides long. RefSeq lists it as uncharacterized. The record is from RefSeq and is a predicted model, not a curated record. The transcript is spliced from 3 exons. NCBI's taxonomy places the organism in Eukaryota, Metazoa, Chordata, Chondrichthyes, Myliobatiformes, Myliobatidae.